ACACGGAGGGUCCAAGCGUUAUCCGGAAUCAUUGGGUUUAAAGGGUGCGCAGGCGGUUUAUUAAGUCAGUGGUGAAAUCUCGAGGCUCAACCUCGAAACUGCCAUUGAUACUGAUAAACUUGAGUUCAGUUGGAGUAGGCGGAAUGUGUAGUGUAGCGGUGAAAUGCUUAGAUAUUACACAGAACACCGAUAGCGAAGGCAGCUUACUAAACUGAUACUGACGCUGAGGCACGAAAGCGUGGGGAGCGAACAGGAUUAGAAACCCUAGUAGUCC
RNAcentral lists this ribosomal RNA (274 nucleotides) under uncultured bacterium. RNAcentral's name for it is "partial 16S ribosomal RNA". It matches the Rfam family "Bacterial small subunit ribosomal RNA", at positions 523 to 796 of the family's 1533-position model. The record is from RNAcentral.